GCCGGGCGCGGUGGCGCGUGCCUGUAGUCCCAGCUACUAGGGAGGCUGAGGCUGGAGGAUCGCUUGAGUCCAGGAGUUCUGGGCUGUAGUGCGCUAUGCCGAUCGGGUGUCCGCACUAAGUUCGGCAUCAAUAUGGUGACCUCCCGGGAGCGGGGGACCACCAGGUUGCCUAAGGAGGGGUGAACCGGCCCAGGUCGGAAACGGAGCAGGUCAAAACUCCCGUGCUGAUCAGUAGUGGGAUCGCGCCUGUGAAUAGCCACUGCACUCCAGCCUGGGCAACAUAGCGAGACCCUGUCUCUA
Molecule: signal recognition particle RNA, 300 nt
Filed under: Macaca mulatta (Rhesus monkey)
Lineage: Eukaryota; Metazoa; Chordata; Mammalia; Primates; Cercopithecidae
Description: 7SLb scRNA
Rfam family: Metazoan signal recognition particle RNA
About the family: The signal recognition particle (SRP) is a universally conserved ribonucleoprotein. It is involved in the co-translational targeting of proteins to membranes.
Source: RNAcentral